Molecule: unclassified non-coding RNA, 148 nt
Filed under: soil metagenome
Description: partial internal transcribed spacer 1
Source: RNAcentral
CCGAGUUUACAACUCCCAAACCCCGUGAACAUACCUUUAUGUUGCCUCGGCGGAUCAGCCCGCGCCCCGUAAAACGGGACGGCCCGCCGCAGGAAACCCUAAACUCUGUUUUUAGUGGAACUUCUGAGUAUAAAAAACAAAUAAAUCA